UGUAAUAGCGGACUUCAUUGC
Molecule: non-coding RNA, 21 nt
Filed under: Caenorhabditis elegans
Lineage: Eukaryota; Metazoa; Nematoda; Chromadorea; Rhabditida; Rhabditidae
Source: RNAcentral